RNAcentral lists this ribosomal RNA (394 nucleotides) under uncultured bacterium. RNAcentral describes it as "partial 16S ribosomal RNA". It matches the Rfam family "Bacterial small subunit ribosomal RNA", at positions 523 to 917 of the family's 1533-position model. The record is from RNAcentral.
AUACGUAGGGUGCAAGCGUUAAUCGGAAUUACUGGGCGUAAAGCGUGCGCAGGCGGUUUUGUAAGACAGUGGUGAAAUCCCCGGGCUCAACCUGGGAACUGCCAUUGUGACUGCAAGGCUGGAGUGCGGCAGAGGGGGAUGGAAUUCCGCGUGUAGCAGUGAAAUGCGGAGAUAUGCGGAGGAACACCGAUGGCGAAGGCAAUCCCCUGGGCCUGCACUGACGCUCAUGCACGAAAGCGUGGGGAGCAAACAGGAUUAGAUACCCUGGUAGUCCACGCCCUAAACGAUGUCAACUGGUUGUUGGGGAUUUAUUUUCUCAGUAACGAAGCUAACGCGUGAAGUUGACCGCCUGGGGAGUACGGCCGCAGGGUUAAAACUCAAAGGAAUUGACGGG